RNAcentral lists this ribosomal RNA (460 nucleotides) under uncultured bacterium. RNAcentral's name for it is "partial 16S ribosomal RNA". It matches the Rfam family "Bacterial small subunit ribosomal RNA", at positions 338 to 795 of the family's 1533-position model. The record is from RNAcentral.
CCUACGGGAGACAGCAGUGAGGAAUAUUGGUCAAUGGACGAGAGUCUGAACCAGCCAAGUAGCGUGAAGGAUGACUGCCCUAUGGGUUGUAAACUUCUUUUAUAUGGGAAUAAAAUGUUCCACGUGUGGGAUUUUGUAUGUACCUUAUGAAUAAGGAUCGGCUAACUCCGUGCCAGCAGCCGCGGUAAUACGGAGGGUCCGAGCGUUAUCCGGAUUUAUUGGGUUUAAAGGGUGCGUAGGUGGGUUGUUAAGUCAGUUGUGAAAGUUUGCGGCUCAACCGUAGAAUUGCAGUUGAAACUGGCAGUCUAGAGUACAGUAGAGGUAGGCGGAAUGCGUGGUGUAGCGGUGAAAUGCAUAGAUAUCACGAAGAACUCCGAUUGCGAAGGCAGUUCACUGGACUGCAACUGACACUGAGGCUCGAAAGUGUGGGUAUCAAACAGGAUUAGAUACCCCGGUAGUC